Homo sapiens (human) is the source of this 1032-nucleotide long non-coding RNA. Lineage: Eukaryota; Metazoa; Chordata; Mammalia; Primates; Hominidae. The record is from Ensembl.
GGGCAAUGGCGGGCGCCCCUCCCCCAGCCUCGCUGCCGCCUUGCAGUUUGAUCUCAGACUGCUGUGCUAGCAAUCAGCGAGACUCCGUGGGCGUAGGACCCUCCGAGCCAGGGAAUAUCUUUCUCCACCACUUUCUCUUAGAUUUAUGUGAGUCCUCAUGUAUCAGGCCAAGGCGGUGGGACCGAAGUUACCUCUGGAGUAUGAAAAUAAGCAACACCAUUAUGAAAAGUCAAAAGAACUUUGGAGUCAAACAGUCCUGCAUUUGAAGGCUAGUGCUACCACUCACCAUUAGGCUAUUUAACCCCAUACUUCUUAAAGUUGGAUAAGGGAUGGAUGGUAUACCAGGAGAUAUGAAAAAGCAGAGGCUGAACAUAGUAAUCUUCCUACAGAAUCAGUUUUAUUCAAUUGUUUUUGGGAAAUAUUUUUAUAUUCAAAUAAACAAUAUGAUAUUAUGGAACAGAAUGCAAAUUAUACAUGAUGUUUUUGCAUAAAUCAUGAGACUUUAAAGAAAAUUUGCAAUUCCAGUAUGCUGCAGUGGGUUAGGAACCACAACAUGCCAAGAUUAACUCUCCUCUACCUUUAGGAGUAUUUCAGCAGAAACAUUUUUAAAACAAUGACUUUAUCUUUUUGGGAUUGAAUUUUCUAUUUACAAAAAUAGAGAUAACAAUACAUCAUGGGAUUCUAUGAAGAUUAAAUGAAAACUCAUAACAUUGACCCUUGCACUAAGUAGUUUUGAAAAAACUAUUUGUAUAUGUGAAAGCAUUCAGCAUAGUGCUGAUUUAUUUUCUAUUUCAGCAACUGGUAGAUCAUACUAUGAGCAUUACUAUUUAGUACAUAUUGCUGGUGAUAAUGGGCUAACGGACCGUUACUAUAUGUUCUAGCUUAACCUUUGCAAGUAACAACAGUAGAUUGAAAAUAUUCAGCAUUCUGCCAUAUUUAGUGCAUUCCAUUUUGUAUUAACCUACUGAGGAUACUUUGAUUGUCUCCUAAAUUAACAAAUACUAAGUCAAAAUUAAACUUAAUAUACAUCAA